GCCGAAAAUACUGUAGAACUAGGGAGUGGGAGAGGUAGACGGUAUUCGGUAGGAAGGGGUAAAAUCCUUUGAUCUAUUGAGGACCACCUGUGGCGAAGGCGGUCUACCAGAACACGUUCGACGGUGAGGGAUGAAAGCUGGGGGAGCAAACCGGAUUAGAUACCCGGGUAGUCCCAGCCGUAAACGAUGCAGACUCGGUGAUGCGCUGGCUUGUGGCCAGUGCAGUGCCGCAGGGAAGCCGUUAAGUUUGCCGCCUGGGAAGUACGUACGCAAGUAUGAAACUUAAAGGAAUUGGCGGGGGAGCACCACAAGGGGUGAAGCCUGCGGUUCAAUUGGAGUCAACGCCAGAAAUCUUACCCGAAGAGACAGCAGAAUGAAGGUCAAGCUGGAGACUUUACCAGACAAGCUGAGAAGUGGUGCAUGGCCGUCGCCAGCUCGUGCCGUGAGAUGUCC
RNAcentral lists this ribosomal RNA (453 nucleotides) under uncultured archaeon. RNAcentral's name for it is "bacterial SSU rRNA". It matches the Rfam family "Archaeal small subunit ribosomal RNA", at positions 574 to 1026 of the family's 1478-position model. The record is from RNAcentral.